This 403-nucleotide ribosomal RNA is filed under the name uncultured bacterium. RNAcentral describes it as "partial 16S ribosomal RNA". It matches the Rfam family "Bacterial small subunit ribosomal RNA", at positions 30 to 526 of the family's 1533-position model. The record is from RNAcentral.
AUUGAACGCUGGCGGCAGGCCUAACACAUGCAAGUCGAGCGAGCGGCGGACGGGUGUGUAAUGUAUGGGGACUGCCCGAUAGAGGGGGAUAACUACUGGCAAAGGUAGCUAAUACAGCAUACUAUCGGAUAACCCAUAUGGGAUUAGCUAGUAGGUGUGGUAAUGGCUCACCUAGGCGACGAUCCCUAGCUGGUGUGUGAGGAUGACCAGCCACACUGGGACUGAGACACGGCCCAGACUCCUACGGAGGCAGCAGUGGGGAAUAUUGGACAAUGGGCGAAACCCUGAUACAGCCAUGCCGCGUGUAUGAAGAAGGCCCUAGGGUUGUAAAGUACUUUCAGUCGGGAGGCGUUACCGACAGAAGAAGCACCGGCUAACUCCGUGCCAGCAGCCGCGGUAAUAC